GACAGAGGGUGCAAACGUUGUUCGGAAUUACUGGGCGUAAAGCGCGUGUAGGCGGCCCGAAAAGUUGGAUGUGAAAGCCCUGGGCUUAACCUAGGAAGUGCAUUCAAAACUGUCGGGCUUGAGUUAUGGAGAGGAAGGCGGAAUUCUCGGUGUAGAGGUGAAAUUCGUAGAUAUCGAGAGGAACACCGGUGGCGAAGGCGGCCUUCUGGACAGUGACUGACGCUGAGACGCGAAAGCGUGGGGAGCAAACAGG
Molecule: ribosomal RNA, 253 nt
Filed under: uncultured bacterium
Lineage: Bacteria
Description: partial 16S ribosomal RNA
Rfam family: Bacterial small subunit ribosomal RNA
Source: RNAcentral